UGAGGCUAAUCCCCGAUAGGUGGGGGANGUUGGAAUGCNNNNNNNNNNAAGCUUCGGCGCCCUAGGAUGGGACUGCGGCCUAUCNNGNUGUUGGUGGUGUAACGGACCACCAAACCUACAACGGGUACGGGCGAUGGGAGUCGGAGCCCGGAGAUGGGGACUGAGACAAGGCCCCAGGCCCUACGGGGCGCAGCAGGCGCGAAAACUCCGCAAUGCGUGAAAGCGUGACGGGGGAACCCCAAGUGCCGUUGAUCUUUGAUCGACGGCUUUUCGGAAGUCUAAAAAGCUUCUGGAAUAAGGGCUGGGCAAGGCUGGUGCCAGCCGCCGCGGUAAUACCAGCAGCCCGAGUGGUGGUCGUGAUUAUUGGGCCUAAAGCGCUCGUAGCCGGGCCAGUAAGUCCCUUGUGAAAUCGGACGGCCUAACCGUUCGGCUUGCAAGGGAUACUGUUGGUCUUGAGGCCGGGAGACGUCUGAGGUACUCCAGGGGUAGCGGUGAAAUGCUGUAAUCCUUGGGGGACCACCGGUGGCGAAGGCGUCAGACGAGAACGGACCUGACGGUGAGGGGCGAAGGCUAGGGGCGCGAACGGGAUUAGAUAUCCCGGUAGUCCUAGCUGUAAAGCAUGCGGGCCAGGUGUCUGGCGCUCUUUGAGGGCGCCAUGUGCCGGAGGGAAGCCGUUAAGCCCGCCGCCUGGGAAGUACGGCCGCAAGGCUGAAACUUAAAGAAAUUGGCGGGGGAGCACCACAAGGGGUGGAACCUGCGGUUCAAUUGGAUUCAACGCCGGA
Molecule: ribosomal RNA, 782 nt
Filed under: uncultured euryarchaeote
Lineage: Archaea; Methanobacteriati; Methanobacteriota
Description: bacterial SSU rRNA
Rfam family: Archaeal small subunit ribosomal RNA
Source: RNAcentral